This is a long non-coding RNA of Cyprinus carpio carpio, 531 nucleotides long. The record is from Ensembl. NCBI's taxonomy places the organism in Eukaryota, Metazoa, Chordata, Actinopteri, Cypriniformes, Cyprinidae.
AACAGUCCAACCCAAAUAUUCAGAUGUGUGCUGCGCAUUUUAUGGAGGAUGAGGACUGUUUCCUGAAACAGAAGCCUACAAUGACAGUCUGGCGCUUCUGACUCAUAGCCUACAAAGGCACUACUCGCUGCUUCUACUGACAACAUCAAGAACGCAAUAAUCUCACUGAUGUACUAGCUCAACUAUACAAGCCUUUUCAGCUCCGCUCAUCUCCCACAAUGCCUUGCAUCAUCGUCAGGUGUCUGACUAGCACGCAUCCAGGUCGAAGGCCACGUUACCAAUUUCUCUCUUUUUAGACGUAGAGCUCGCUGGCUUUUUUGUGCUUUCAACUUUCAAGUUUCCUGUGAACUUCACAUCAAACGGCUGAAGCCCUGUGCAGCGGCUUUGAAGUGCUGGGGAGAGCUGAGCUCUUGUGCUGGCGCUGGUAAAAAGCUGCCAUGCUAAAAAAAGUCAAAGACUGCAGGGAACGGACGGUGAUUUUUUUUUUUUUUUCUUUUUAUCAUUUUAGCAUGAUUAUUAUCAUUAAAGGGA